This 453-nucleotide ribosomal RNA is filed under the name uncultured bacterium. RNAcentral's name for it is "bacterial SSU rRNA". It matches the Rfam family "Bacterial small subunit ribosomal RNA", at positions 340 to 786 of the family's 1533-position model. The record is from RNAcentral.
UACGGAAGGCAGCAGUGGGGAAUAUUGCACAAUGGGCGCAAGCCUGAUGCAGCCAUGCCGCGUGUAUGAAAAAGGCCUUCGGGUUGUAAAGUACUUUCAGUCGUGAGGAAGGUGUUAAGGUUAAUAACCUUAGCAAUUGACGUUAGCGACAGAAGAAGCACCGGCUAACUCCGUGCCAGCAGCCGCGGUAAUACGGAGGGUGCGAGUGUUAAUCGGAAUUACUGGGCGUAAAGGGCACGCAGGCGGUUAAUUAAGUUGGAUGUGAAAUCCCCGGGCUUAACCUGGGAAUGGCAUUCAAGACUGGUUAGCUAGAGUCUUGUAGAGGGGGUAGAAUUCCAUGUGUAGCGGUGAAAUGCGUAGAGAUGUGGAGGAAUACCGGUGGCGAAGGCGGCCCCUGGACAAAGACUGACGCUCAUGUGCGAAAGCGUGGGGAGCAAACAGGGAUUAGAUACC